AGAGUUUGAUCCUGGCUCAGAACGAACGUUGGCGGCGUGGAUUAGGCAUGCAAGUCGAACGCGAAAGGGGCUUCGGCCCCGAGUAAAGUGGCGAACGGGUGAGUAACGCGUGGGGAAUCUGCCCUAGAGCGGGGAAUAACACUCCCAACGGGGUGCUAAUACCGCAUAACAUCGCUGGAUGGCAUCAUUCGGCGAUCAAAGGUGGGGAUCGCAAGACCUGCCACUCUAGGAUGAUCCCGCGUCCGAUUAGCUAGUUGGUAGGGUAACGGCCUACCAAGGCUCCGAUCGGUAGCUGGUCUGAGAGGAUGGUCAGCCACACUGGGACUGAGAUACGGCCCAGACUCCUACGGGAGGCAGCAGUCGAGAGGCUUCGGCAAUGGGCGAAAGCCUGACCGAGCGACGCCGCGUGAGCGAUGAAGCCCUUCGGGGUGUAAAGCUCUUUUGUGGGGGAAGAACUAGUGCGACCUAAUACGUCGUACUUUGACGGUACCCUGCGAAUAAGCUCCGGCUAACUCCGUGCCAGCAGCCGCGGUAAUACGGGGGGAGCAAACGUUGUUCGGAAUCACUGGGCGUAAAGGGCGCGUAGGCGGUCCUGUAAGUGGUGUGUGAAAUCCGAUGGCUCAACCAUCGAGCUGCGCUCCAUACUGCAGGACUUGAGUACAGCAGAGGAAAGUGGAAUUCCCGGUGUAGCGGUGAAAUGCGUAGAUAUCGGGAGGAACACCGUUGGCGAAGGCGACUUUCUGGGCUGCUACUGACGCUGAUGCGCGAAAGCCAGGGGAGCGAACAGGAUUAGAUACCCUGGUAGUCCUGGCCGUAAACGGUGGACACUAGGUGUUGGAGGCAUCGACCCCUCCAGUGCCGCAGCUAACGCAUUAAGUGUCCCGCCUGGGGAGUACGACCGCAAGGUUGAAACUCAAAGGAAUUGACGG
Molecule: ribosomal RNA, 929 nt
Filed under: uncultured bacterium
Lineage: Bacteria
Description: bacterial SSU rRNA
Rfam family: Bacterial small subunit ribosomal RNA
Source: RNAcentral